CAAUCCUCUUUUAUUAUAAGUCAUAACAUCAAGUGUAGAGGAAUCAUCAAGUUAGAAAGGUCUAGAGAAGUCAAGGAGAGGUAGGUAACACUUCAACUGCAAAGUAGGGAUAAAAUUCUUUUCAAAUUUAACUUCAGUUUUAACUAAUUCCUUAUUUUGUGAUGCUACUAUGAUGUUAUUAGUUAUACUCUAAAUUUUAUAUGGUCAACUAUGCCGCCUAUAUUGUGAUAUUUUUUAUUUACUCCUUGCUAUGGUCGGCUCUGUCGCCUAUAUUAUAAUCCCAUUUUGUUUAAUCUCUAUAUGGAUGGCGCUGCCGCCUGCAUUAAAGAUUGUCGUCCUUAAAUGGCAUUGUGUAUUGAUUUUUCUGUACCUCCAAGAAGUUCACAUGUUAUAAUAUAAGUUGCAUUGAACACAAACAUUUCAUGGAUUACUUUAUAAGAAGAAAUUUUAGAAAAAUGAAUUUAUCAAAAAUAGGUUGUUUUACUACAAGGAGGUAAAGUUCCCAAGGAGGGCAAGCCCUCAAAACUAAGUAAAAAGAAAUCUUUUGGGGAUGACGAUACGUAAUGCCCAAAUGAUCAACUAAUUAGGCCCCAGGGCAUAUUGUUUAAAGAAUAAGAGUGCUCGCCUUGUCGUGCAACAUGCCUAGAGCCCUUAUAAAGUUGUUUUGUUUUUUUUCUAAGUUCUUUUAAAAACUUAAUAUGGUCAUCUAUAUGCAUAGUAAAUUAUACAUGCAUCAAAGUGUUAUCUUAUUGCGCAUUAACUCAUAAAGUCCUUAUGUUGUAGGUAAUGAUGAGUAGGGCAAGGUAGCGCCAAGUCCUAACCGAGGCGAAGUGUAUAUGGGCAUAAAAAACCUUAGGUUUUAUGAUGAGCUCAACUUUGUUUCAAUAAAAAAUAAAUAUCUUAGCUUUAUGUGAUAAUAAAGUUCUUGAAAUAUAAACCAAGGAAUCUUUGUAUACCUUCUAUAUUUUGUAAAGACGUUUUGC
Molecule: long non-coding RNA, 983 nt
Filed under: Citrus sinensis (sweet orange)
Lineage: Eukaryota; Viridiplantae; Streptophyta; Magnoliopsida; Sapindales; Rutaceae
Description: long non-coding RNA (CSIN_LNC003510)
Source: RNAcentral